RNAcentral lists this ribosomal RNA (141 nucleotides) under uncultured eukaryote. RNAcentral describes it as "partial 18S ribosomal RNA". It matches the Rfam family "Eukaryotic small subunit ribosomal RNA", at positions 1299 to 1458 of the family's 1831-position model. The record is from RNAcentral.
UGGUGGAGCGAUUUGUCUGGUUAAUUCCGAUAACGAACGAGACUCUAGCCUGCUAAAUAGCCAACUGAUCCGCAGCGUCAGUUGCUAUAAGCUUCUUAGAGGGACAGGCGACGUUUAGUCGCACGAGAUUGAGCAAUAACA